RNAcentral lists this transfer RNA (74 nucleotides) under Chryseobacterium sp. SORGH_AS_0447. Its description in RNAcentral is "tRNA-Leu". It matches the Rfam family "tRNA". Rfam says of the family: Transfer RNA (tRNA) molecules are approximately 80 nucleotides in length. Their secondary structure includes four short double-helical elements and three loops (D, anti-codon, and T loops). The record is from RNAcentral. Lineage: Bacteria; Pseudomonadati; Bacteroidota; Flavobacteriia; Flavobacteriales; Weeksellaceae.
GCGGGAAUGGUGGAAUUGGCAGACACACCUGAUUUAGGCUCAGGUCUUUGGGGGUUCGAAUCCCUCUUCCCGUA